UACAGUGAUCAGGUUACGACGGA
RNAcentral lists this microRNA (23 nucleotides) under Xenopus laevis (African clawed frog). Its description in RNAcentral is "Xla-Mir-1329-P2_5p (mature (guide))". RNAcentral also lists the same sequence under 3 other names. The record is from RNAcentral. Lineage: Eukaryota; Metazoa; Chordata; Amphibia; Anura; Pipidae.